CACAAAUAACUCGCAUAGGAGAGAGUCUCUUCAGGUUGCUCACAGUCGCACGAAGAUGUCCAGCUUCUACAGAACGUCCACACAAAGACUGACGCAGAUCAGACUCCUUGGAAGUACUGGCUUGCAAGGAUCUUUGAAGGCUGAAUUGUCUCUUCUUCUUUUGAUCUAGUGGAUGCUCCAAAGGAGAAGAAGAUCUAGAGGAGGAAGAAGAGAGAAAAGAGAGC
This 224-nucleotide long non-coding RNA is filed under the name Elaeis guineensis (African oil palm). RNAcentral's name for it is "long non-coding RNA (EGUI_LNC058298)". Lineage: Eukaryota; Viridiplantae; Streptophyta; Magnoliopsida; Arecales; Arecaceae. The record is from RNAcentral.